AGUACAGUGCCAGAGUUAUGGGCCGCCUUGAUGUGGUGAGAACGGUGGUUAAGCCCACCCUGUGCUC
Molecule: transfer RNA, 67 nt
Filed under: Nipponacmea nigrans
Lineage: Eukaryota; Metazoa; Mollusca; Gastropoda; Lottiidae
Description: tRNA-Ile
Source: RNAcentral